Non-coding RNA from Pelobates cultripes (western spadefoot toad), 440 nucleotides. The record is from the annotation of a GenBank genome assembly. Lineage: Eukaryota; Metazoa; Chordata; Amphibia; Anura; Pelobatidae.
AUAGGAUAAAGGAAUAUAUUAAAAUGUCCCACUUAACGCGUUUCACCUAAACAGGCUUCUUCAGAAGUGUGGUAAAGAGUCCAAAAAGUCCAUUUUUAUAUCCUGAUUAAUGGGGUGAUGGUUUCCUGGUGUGUUACUUCCUGGUUCCGGGCUCCGGUUGACACGCACGCGUCAUACCGGAAGUGACGCGACGCGCGCGUCAUCCCGGAAAUGACGUGUCGCUCGCAUCGAUCAAGAAAAUAUUUGCGGCAUCAAAUUGAAAGAAUAACAAUGUUAUGUUAUGGCGCAUUGGAACGCACAUAUCACCAAUAGGUGGUGUGUGUGACGUUCCGAGCGCUGCCCGCUUUAAAGCCUCAUAAUGUGAGGUGUGGGCAUAUGGUACUAUGUAAAUAGCUUGGCGGCCAUCUUUAAUAUGGGCAUCCAUAAAGUAAAAUAAACAU